AUUCAGCUGACGAGUUUCAAAUAGGAUGAAAACGUGCUUCCUGGAU
This 46-nucleotide non-coding RNA is filed under the name Schistosoma margrebowiei. The record is from RNAcentral. Lineage: Eukaryota; Metazoa; Platyhelminthes; Trematoda; Strigeidida; Schistosomatidae.